UACGUAGGGUGCAGGCGUUAAUCGGAAUUACUGGGCGUAAAGCGUGCGCAGGCGGUCUGCUAAGAGAGAUGUGAAAUCCCCGGGCUUAACCUGGGAACUGCGUUUCUAACUGGCAGGCUUGAGUGUGGCAGAGGGGGGUGGAAUUCCACGUGUAGCAGUGAAAUGCGUAGAGAUGUGGAGGAACACCGAUGGCGAGGGCAGCCCCCUGGGCUAACACUGACGCUCAUGCACGAAAGCGUGGGGAGCAAACAGG
RNAcentral lists this ribosomal RNA (253 nucleotides) under uncultured bacterium. RNAcentral's name for it is "partial 16S ribosomal RNA". It matches the Rfam family "Bacterial small subunit ribosomal RNA", at positions 524 to 776 of the family's 1533-position model. The record is from RNAcentral.